GUAAAUAGAUGAGGAACAUAUGAUGUUGUAUGUUGAGACUUUGAACAACCAGAUAGCUAGGUACACUUGUAAAUCCUCUUUACAAUAACAAACACAACAUAGAUAUUGAUUUCCUCAUUGUGAUCUCAAGGCUUGUGCCAACAGGUUGGCCAUGGCGUUUAUAAUGCACGAUCACCGGCCGCAUGGAAGUGUUUUUUGUAAGGGAAUGCAUGCAGGUAUUGGCGCUGAGGAUGAAUGGAAAGACUUAUUCAGAGUCUCAGGUGUUGUCUUUCCCUGCAAUGUUCAGAUAAGGAAUACACAUAGAGCAUCAGUAACACAAGCGACCUGCAGUUUCUCCAAGAACAUAUAUGUUGGAUAACGAUUCGAAGAAAUAACUCAAGAAUGCUCAAAUGCUUGGCCCUCCUAUCAAGAACCCAAAUGCCAGCUCUGCGCUUCUUUUACUUGCAGGGAUCGAACGAGAUCUGACAGGACUCUGCAUCCUUAGCUUUUAUGCUGCUUUAGAACAGACAUCUACCUAGAGGCCGCACAGCAGCACCAACGAUUAACGACUAUUAUCUUGUUGCUAGUAUAUCAACUUUACAUUGUUUGAUUUCGCAAAAAAGAGAGACUGUUUGCAGACUACCAUAGCCAUCCAUGUAGAAUAGGCAGAGCUCGGCCAUAACCUAUAACAGAUUCGUUACUGCCUGCGACCGAGAUCUGUAUUAGUAGCUCUGGUAUUCACUUGUGUUGUAGCCUUGUGGUUGCUCUGUUUGCACUUGCUGUUCAUCGUUGCUGAAUUGGUUUCAGUUAGCGAUGUGUAGCUCCAAAUCAGCAGUAAACAUGAAACCAUUGCUUUGGGCCACAUUCUUUCAGUUGACACGGAGGGCCGUGCUGGCUGAUUCCGGAGUAGGUAUCAGGGGUAAGAGAAUGCGAAGCAGCUGUAAUCUCUGGUAAGUGCAUCUUAAUUAUAUGCCAGUUGGUAAGAGAAUGGUCUGUUGAUGAACUCAUGUGUAGCAACUAAACUCAGUAGUAGGAAUAAUUUGUGAAUCUAGUAGCUAGUUAGGAAGCAAGGGAUGAAUUACAACUACAAGUGGGAUUCACUCUCUUAGUAUUGGCUGAUGCUUGAUGUUCUUGUUCCAGCUACUAAAUUGUUGCAGUUAAUUGAAGCAAACAAAGUUGUUGUAAAUGGGGUUUCUACGCUGAAUAAGUAGCUGGGUAGACACACCAGUCCCAAUUUCAUCUUAGGCUUUUGUUUUUCUCAUCCUGACCACCUCAAGGCUUUAUUGCACCGAUUUUAAGUAGGUGUUGGUGUUGAAGCUGCAAUUAACUGACAGGACCUGCAGUUUCUUUCUCCAGUUUCUUCUUUGGAGAGCACAUCGCCAUUUAAAAGUAAUCAUGCCCUUGUGCAAACACCAUAUGUGUAUAUGGGCAUAUAUCGUUGACAGCCAACGUUGUACUAGCAAGUCAAAACAUGACAGAUCAAGCAAACUCAUACUUCCCCUGUUCAUAAAUAUAAGAUGUUUUAGAGACUUGUGGUUACUACAGAGAAACUUGCAUCAUUAUGGCCAAUCAGGCAAAAUAAUACUCGAAAAUAGGUAGCAAGCAAGACAAGUCGUUCAUAUAGAUCUGUACAUGUAUGGUUCAGGCAUUUGACCAGAAGAUCUACAGAAAAAACAAGAGAGCAUACAACUCGGAUACUGAUUCAAUAAUGCUCAAAUGGUGGACGUACUCACCGACUGAAAUGAGUUUGUCUCAGCACUCACUUUAUUUUCGGCAGGGCCCAACCAAAAUCCUAUUUGGUAUGCAGAGUAUUUUCAUGUGUGGUUUGCUGCAAAGGGACCAAGAAAUCAGACAUAUUGCCCGAAAUAUAUAUGUAGACUGGAUGAUUCAAGUCGUAAAGAGCAGUGCAUCAGUAAGAAAAUAUAUGCAUGACCUGUAAACUUAGUGCCUGCAGUUUCUUCACUUCUUCACACGCCAUUCUUCACUUUGGCAAGCAACAAGCUAUGCUGCCUGUAAUAAAGCUUUUCAUGCUAGUCUCAUUUAUGUCACCACAAACAAAGAACACAAUAGAAAUUCGUAUGACAACACAAAGCUUUGUUAUAUAUAAUACUCUGCCUCACCAACCUAGGUUGUAAUAUAUAUGUGUGCUGGAUCACGUGCAUGUAUGUUGCACACAUGUACGUGAUCCGGCACACAUGGGUGGUCUCUCCUCCUUUUUCCGGGCUUGAGACCGGCUGCGCCAUUGUAAGUCUUACCUUAAAAUGCC
This 2245-nucleotide long non-coding RNA is filed under the name Triticum aestivum (bread wheat). RNAcentral describes it as "long non-coding RNA (TAES_LNC012811)". Lineage: Eukaryota; Viridiplantae; Streptophyta; Magnoliopsida; Poales; Poaceae. The record is from RNAcentral.